AUAAGUAACCUGCCCUAGACAGGGGGAUAACUAUUGAAACGAUAGCUAAGACCGCAUAGGUACGGACACUGCAUGGUGACCGUAUUAAAAGUGCCUCAAAGCACUGGUAGAGGAUGGACUUAUGGCGCAUUAGCUGGUUGGCGGGGUAACGGGCCCACCAAGGCGACGAUGCGUAGCCGACCUGAGAGGGUGACCGGCCACACUGGGACUGAGACACGGCCCAGACUCCUACGGGAGGCAGCAUG
RNAcentral lists this ribosomal RNA (245 nucleotides) under uncultured bacterium. RNAcentral describes it as "partial 16S ribosomal RNA". It matches the Rfam family "Bacterial small subunit ribosomal RNA", at positions 117 to 353 of the family's 1533-position model. The record is from RNAcentral.